This 488-nucleotide ribosomal RNA is filed under the name uncultured bacterium. RNAcentral describes it as "SSU rRNA". It matches the Rfam family "Bacterial small subunit ribosomal RNA", at positions 26 to 523 of the family's 1533-position model. The record is from RNAcentral.
AGGAUAAACGCUGGCGGCGUGCCUAACACAUGCAAGUCGAACGUACUUGCGGUCUUCUUCUUCGGAGGAGGACCGCGAGGGAGUGGCGGACGGGUGAGUAACACAUGGGUACCUACCUUGGAGUGAGGGAUACCGGCGAGAAAUCGCCGACAAUACCGCAUAGGCUUCUUCACAAGGGAAGCAAAGUGACGCGAGUCAUGCUUUGAGAUGGGCCUGUGGCCGAUUAGCUAGUUGGGGGGUAACGGCUUCCCAAGGCGACGAUCGGUAGCUGGUCUGAGAGGACGAUCAGCCACACUGGGAUUGAGAACGGCCCAGACUCCUACGGGGGGCAGCAGUGAGGAAUUUUCCGCAAUGGAGGCAACUCUGACGGAGCAACGCCGCGUGCAGGAGGAAGGUUUUCGGAUCGUAAACUGCUUUUCUCGGGGACGAGCAAGGACGGUACCCGAGGAACGAAGCCCCGGCUAACUACGUGCCAGCAGCCGCGGUAA